This 297-nucleotide small nuclear RNA is filed under the name Castor canadensis (American beaver). RNAcentral's name for it is "7SK RNA (ENSCCNG00000028494.1)". It matches the Rfam family "7SK RNA". From Rfam's summary of the family: 7SK was discovered as an abundant small nuclear RNA in the mid-70s but a possible function has only recently been suggested. Two independent studies have found that 7SK RNA binds the CDK9/cyclin T complex (known as elongation factor P-TEFb). The record is from RNAcentral. Lineage: Eukaryota; Metazoa; Chordata; Mammalia; Rodentia; Castoridae.
UGAUGUGACGGCAAUCUGGCUGCAACAUCUGUCAUCCCAUUGAUCACCAGGGUUGAUUUGGCUGAUCUGACUGGCUAGGCAGGUAACUCCUUCUUCCUUCAACACUCCGUGUGCGUCCCUCCUGAACCCGCACAACCAGUCAAAGAGGACGACCAUCCCCAAUAGAGGAGGGCUGUUUUUUGGCCAAGGGUAUACGAGUAGCUUUGCUCAGAAACUCCAAACAAGCUCUCAAAGUAAGCUUUUGAUAUUUCCUUAUAAUGUAUAGCUUUCCUGCUAUAUAUUAUUUUCUUUCCAAAA